This 494-nucleotide ribosomal RNA is filed under the name uncultured bacterium. RNAcentral's name for it is "partial 16S ribosomal RNA". It matches the Rfam family "Bacterial small subunit ribosomal RNA", at positions 29 to 505 of the family's 1533-position model. The record is from RNAcentral.
ACGAACGCUGGCGGCGUGCCUAAUACAUGCAAGUUGAGCGCUGAAGGUUGGUACUUGUACCGACUGGAUGAGCAGCGAACGGGUGAGUAACGCGUGGGGAAUCUGCCUUUGAGCGGGGGACAACAUUUGGAAACGAAUGCUAAUACCGCAUAAAAACUUUAAACACAAGUUUUAAGUUUGAAAGAUGCAAUUGCAUCACUCAAAGAUGAUCCCGCGUUGUAUUAGCUAGUUGGUGAGGUAAAGGCUCACCAAGGCGAUGAUACAUAGCCGACCUGAGAGGGUGAUCGGCCACAUUGGGACUGAGACACGGCCCAAACUCCUACGGGAGGCAGCAGUAGGGAAUCUUCGGCAAUGGACGAAAGUCUGACCGAGCAACGCCGCGUGAGUGAAGAAGGUUUUCGGAUCGUAAAACUCUGUUGGUAGAGAAGAACGUUGGUGAGAGUGGAAAGCUCAUCAAGUGACGGUAACUACCCAGAAAGGGACGGCUAACUACG